CACUGAGGUGGUGAGGACCCCUGCCCAGCCCUCAGGAGCCCCCUCUGACUGUGUAAAGAGCUGAGUCAUGAUCAAUCAAAGGUACUCCGCUGGAGGGAUGUGUUAGGGCCCAGAAAAGGGAGUUGCUUGCUCGCCUUAGGGUGGAGUUGGUAAGGGGAGGUUUCCCAGAGUUCAGUUGAAGCCAGGUUCUGAGGUAUGAGUAGGAGUUUGACAGGCGGAAGAAGCAACUCGAGCAAAAGCUGGAAAUCUAACAGAAGCAUUGCCCUGGGGGACUGGCUGCAGGCAGAGGGCUUGCCCCGCAACCUGCUGUGCCACUGAGGGCCCUGGGUCUUGUGAUCUGCUGCUUCUCCCGCCCAGCCCCUCCCUCUCUCUGCCCAGUGCCGGGGGAAGACAUUUCCCUCCAUCCACCUGUGGACCCGGCUCCUGAUGGCCCUGGCUGGCCUCCUCUAUGCCUCGGCCAUUGUGGCCCACGACCGGCAGCCUGAGUACCUGCUGCGGGCCACGCCCUGGUUCCUGACCUCCCUCGGCCGUGCGGCGCUGGACCUCGCUAUUAUUUUCCUUUCGUGUGUGAUGAAGAGCAAGAUGAGACAGGCCUUAGGAUUUGCCAAGGAAGCCAGAGAGAGCCCUGACACCCAAGCCCUUUUGACCUGUGCAGAGAAAGAGGAAGAAAACCAGGAGAAUUUGGAUUGGGUGCCUCUCACCACACUGUCACACUGCAAGUCACUGAGGACAAUGACAGCAAUCAGUCGCUACAUGGAGCUGACCAUCGAGCCUGUGCAGCAGGCAGGCUGCAGUGCCACCAGGCUGCCAGGUGACGGACAGAUGAGCGCCGGAGAUGCGUCCCUGCGGGAGCCCCCGUCGUACCCUCCCGUUCAGGUCAUCCGGGCCCGGGUGUCUUCCGGCAGCUCCUCUGAGGUCUCCUCCAUCAACUCCGACCUGGAGUGGGACCCUGAAGAUGUGAACCUUGAAGGCAGCAAAGAAAAUGUGGAGCUACUGGGAUCCCAGGUGCACCAGGACUCUGUGAGGACAGCACACCUGAGUGAUGAUGAUUAACACCUUCUGGAGCCAGCUCAUCAGCUCAGAGCCCAGGGUCAGGAGUUUGUUCAGUAACGCAGCAGGAAUCAAUCUGCACUGACACCGCGGCAGGAACUGAAGCUGCCCUGGAAAGUGAGGAACCAGGAGCCGUCACUGAGUGUGGCUGGGCUACAUCAUAGCUCAUCAUGGAGCUACGACUUUGGGUACUGCGGACAGACCUGGAUAGGCCCAGCAUUUGUUCUGAAGAUUACAGUUCACAGACAGCUUUUGCUUUGUAAGGAUAAUCCAAAGGAUCCUAGACCCGCUUUUCCUUUUCCCUUUAUUCCCUUGAGAGUCAGCCAUAAACUGAAUACCUGCUAGGUUCCAGGAAUGAGUUCACCUAACAAAUAGCAAAUGUGUCUGGUUAGAUCUCAGCAGAGCCCAUUCUGCAAGACCUGGCUGAGCCAGAUGAGAGGGUGGGCCCUGUGCUGGGGGGCCUUGGGUCACACACAGGAACCAAGACCUGGCUUCCGCCCCCCAGUCACCCACUUGGGUUAUCUGCUGGAAGUUAUCGAUAGGACUGUGUGGCCAACCAAGUGCUUGUGAGAUCACUGACACUGCAAAAACAAAGCAAACUGCUCCGGGUACCAGGACUUCCUCCAACCUGGCAAGGGUGUGUGCUGAGGCGGGGCUUGCAGGUGAGGGGGGCUGUAUGCUUCAGGAACUAACCAAAUGCAUGCAGAAGAUAAGAGGCAUGAUGGGAGGUGUUCAAGCACAGCAAUCCCAUUUGGGAGUUAUUUUGAUACUGCGAUGAGUAAGGGUAAGGGCGCAUGGAAUGGGGCUAAGGUGGGAGUGAACACUGGGGUGAAUAAAUUUUAAAUCAAUUCAA
Molecule: small RNA, 1903 nt
Filed under: Pan troglodytes (chimpanzee)
Lineage: Eukaryota; Metazoa; Chordata; Mammalia; Primates; Hominidae
Description: retained intron
Source: RNAcentral